This is a long non-coding RNA of Hemicordylus capensis (graceful crag lizard), 1967 nucleotides long. RefSeq lists it as uncharacterized. NCBI's taxonomy places the organism in Eukaryota, Metazoa, Chordata, Lepidosauria, Squamata, Cordylidae. The record is from RefSeq and is a predicted model, not a curated record. The transcript has 3 exons.
AGUGUAUGUCCAUUUCACAAUGCAGACUACUCCGUCAUUUGCUGCAGAAGAUGUUGGCUUCUUUCCAGGAUAAUUCAUGGCUUCAGGUUUAUUGCAAAUAGCUGUAUUUGUUUGCCUCAACAAAAGAGUGAGCUGUUAGCCUCCUUUUUCCUCUGGAGAAAAUUAAAGGCAUCUGUUAUGCUUGUUUCAUCAAAUGAAGGGUCAUUUCAUCCCAUUUGGGAGAUGUGUGAGAGGUAGGAUGGGAAGACUGCAGACAAACUGACUGGAGAAACCUGGAAAGACCCAUCCUUGCAGCUGAAUAUUUGGCCAAACACAGACUGUAGGUGCAAUAAAUUUAUUUUGGGGUAAUUUAAUUUCUCUUGAAAUGUGCACAUGUGUGAUUAACUCAUGUAUAUACUGUAUAUCAUAAUGUUGCAGUCAAGUGAUUAACAUCCAUUAUGUCUGAAAUGCCUUUUGGAGUCAAGCUGAGGAACAUUCGGUCUUUGCAAGCUGCUGCUUUAACCUGCACCAGAAGAGGAGUAGGUCCCCCAAGAAAACAAAGAUAAACAGCAAACUGAAACCUCAGUCAAAACCCAUAAUCAAAUCAAACAAAUGGCAAUAAAUCUGUAUUAAAACUACAAACUGUAAGUACAAAAAGUCAUCAACAUAUGUAUUGAUUAUGGUUUGUAUUUACAGUCAUUUGUAGCUUUAAUGCAGAUUUAUAGUCAUAUUUUUGAUUUGAUUAAGGUUUUUUUUAUUGAGUUCUAAUUUGGCUCCAUCCAAAGCUUAGCACUGCAUUUGACACCACUGUGUUGGUAGUAACUUAAUCACAUGUGGUCUCUACUCCAACCAUGAGAUCCAAAUCAGCCCAGCAUCCUCAUGUUUUAUCUGCUUUUUAAGCAUUUUUUGGUUUAGUGAUCCUGGGAGACUGAAAUAUACUGUUAAUGGCAACAAGAGGUGCUCUUGUGUAGACAUACCAUGCCCAUGACAGGAGGUGAGAGCUAGGGGUGUGCACAAAACCGGUGGGCCUGGUUUGGGUCGAGUCUGAACCAGACUUGAACUGGACCACACCGGUUCCAUUUUGCACCCCCUAAAAAACCCCAGGUUUAAUUUGGGGGGGUUGGUUCAAAGUUACCCCCUCUGUGGGAGCACUGCUGUGGCCGUGGGGGGUCUCUGGAGGUUCCCCCUCCCCCAGAACCAGCCACGUAGAGGCCCAUGCAGAGGCUUCCAAAAUGACCACUACAAGGGCAGGCCUAGAACAGGCCAAAGACCACCUGAACCGCGCAAUUUCUGGCACUAAUGGAGGCCAGCGGGGGAGGGGAACCUCUGGAGACACACACACACAGCUGUGGAAGUGUCCCCCCAGUGGGGGUAAGUUGAACCCCAAACAGGUUGGUGGGUUCAACUCGAUGCCAAACUGAACUGGGUGUGUGUGUGUGUGUGUGUUUGGCUCGACAUCGAGCCAUCGAUCUGAACCAGUUCUGUGUUCUUUGCACAUCCCUAGUGAGAGUGGUGGUGAUAGGCUACUUGAUAGUUGUAAGCAUUUGAGAAUGUUGCAAGGCACAGUGUCCAGUUUACUUGCACUUUGGCAAGUAAAGGGUGCUUAUAAUCAUUUGUGUCUGCCUACUUGGAUUGCUGAUUACACAUCAGUAAGCUUUUUUUCCUGGCACUUAUCACAGCUGUAGUCCUCUGUGGGCAGAGCUGAUAUUCACAUUUCAAAGAAAGGUUAAGACUAAAGCAGGCUAAAUAUAACACAGAUUGUUCUCUUAAAAAAAAAUAAAAUAAACAAAAGGUGUUUGUGUUUUUUUAACCAGAUCAUGGGGGAUUGGCACCAACUGCUUCCUAGAUGUUAACCAGUGAUACUAAGUUUAUAAGUGAAGUUGGGAUGGCAGAAUUAUUAUUCUUAUGAGAAUAUAAUAAUUCUCAUAUUAUUCUUAUGAGAAUUUAGGAAUUCAAUUGGACUUAACAUUAGUUAUGAGAAACUUGUC